CUACGUUUUUUUUUGCAGUAAUGAUCAUAAUGAGAGGGAACACACAAACAAUAACAAAGAAAUCACUUUACAACAAUUUCACUUUUACUUGGUACACUCGAUUGCGGCCGAAAAUAUAUAUGAAAUUCCAUUGUUGGCUUUGUUUACCGGCCGACAAAGUUACGUUGUUUAUCUAGUAAUAAAUCCUUUUUU
Long non-coding RNA from Bradysia coprophila, 192 nucleotides. The record is from RefSeq and is a predicted model, not a curated record. NCBI's taxonomy places the organism in Eukaryota, Metazoa, Arthropoda, Insecta, Diptera, Sciaridae.